Molecule: ribosomal RNA, 481 nt
Filed under: uncultured bacterium
Lineage: Bacteria
Description: bacterial SSU rRNA
Rfam family: Bacterial small subunit ribosomal RNA
Source: RNAcentral
GACGACGCUGGCGGCGUGCCUAACACAUGCAAGUCGAGCGGAGUCGAUCGACGGAAGCCUUCGGGCGGAAGAUGGUUGACUUAGCGGCGGAUGGGUGAGUAACGCGUGGGCAACCUGCCUCGAAGACCGGGAUAACAGCCCGAAAGGGCUGCUAAUACCGGAUGUGGUCAAGGAUCCGCAUGGAUUUUGAUUAAAGGGGAAACCCGUUUCGAGAUGGGCCCGCGUCCUAUCAGCUAGUUGGUGAGGUAAAAGCUCACCAAGGCGACGACGGGUAGCCGGCCUGAGAGGGUGACCGGCCACACUGGAACUGAGACGCGGUCCAGACUCCUACGGGGGGCAGCAGUGGGGAAUCUUCCACAAUGGGCGAAAGCCUGAUGGAGCGACGCCGCGUGAGCGAAGAAGGCCUUCGGGUUGUAAAGCUCUGUCUGGAGGGACGAAGGAAGUGACGGUACCUCCGGAGGAAGCCACGGCUAACUACGUG